RNAcentral lists this ribosomal RNA (449 nucleotides) under uncultured bacterium. RNAcentral's name for it is "bacterial SSU rRNA". It matches the Rfam family "Bacterial small subunit ribosomal RNA", at positions 29 to 524 of the family's 1533-position model. The record is from RNAcentral.
AACGAACGCUGGCGGCAUGCCUAACACAUGCAAGUCGAACGAGACCUUCGGGUCUAGUGGCGCACGGGUGCGUAACGCGUGGGAACCUGCCUUUUGGUUCGGAAUAACUCAGAGAAAUUUGAGCUAAUACCGGAUAAUGUCUUCGGACCAAAGAUUUAUCGCCAUUAGAUGGGCCCGCGUAAGAUUAGCUAGUUGGUGGGUAAAGGCCUACCAAGGCGACGAUCUUUAGCUGGUCUGAGAGGAUGAUCAGCCACACUGGGACUGAGACACGGCCCAGACUCCUACGGGAGGCAGCAGUGGGGAAUAUUGGACAAUGGGCGAAAGCCUGAUCCAGCAAUGCCGCGUGAGUGAUGAAGGCCUUAGGGUUGUAAAGCUCUUUUACCCGAGAUGAUAAUGACAGUAUCGGGAGAAUAAGCUCCGGCUAACUCCGUGCCAGCAGCCGCGGUAAU